UGACUUCACUUUAUUUUGCAUUUUAUUUAUAUUUCAAGGGAAAGAUUUACAGUCAAUCCUCAAAAUGGACAGAGGCAAGACUUCAUCAACAAAAAUGAUUUUGAUUUCAACUUAAUACGUUGAUAUAAAAUCUUUAAUACAAAUCCAUAAAGAUGAUUGUUUGAUUAAGCCAUUGUUGAUAUAAUCAAAAUCUCGACAUUGGAUGAAAUGCUUACAUCCGCAAAGUAUUUCCCUAGCACAGAUAUAACCACUGCAUCAAGCAUCUCCCAGAUAAAUUACAUUCAUUAAAAAACACAAGCUUAAGGAACAGAUUUCAAAUGAAUGAAAAACUAUUGAAAUGACAUAUUAUAGUUUGUUUGUGACCUCACAUAACAGUUUCCCCCACCUUUCCUCCAGGUACUCGACAAUGAUCCUCUAUUUGAAUUCCCUCUCUAAUGAAACGGAGAUGUUCUCCUCUGGCUUCAAGGGGAGGUGACUGAACGCAAUUUGAAAGUGUUUUUUAAAAAUGUUUUGUUUCUUUUGUGGUAUCACUCAAAGUAGAAGAUUUGUAUGACUACAAAAUGUACGCUGUGUCUUGGCCAUGAGCUGUAGUGGAGAAGGAUGAGUGGUAAGACUUCACUGGAGAGGAGAAGGAUGAGUGGUAAGACAUCACUGGAGAGGAGAAGGAUGAGUGGUAAGACAUCACUGGAGAGGUGAAGGAUGAGUGGUAAGACUUCACUGGAGAGGAGAAGGAUGAGUGGUAAGACUUUACUGGAGAGGAGAAGGAUGAGUACACAUUGCUUGUCUUUUCUAGGAACCUCUUCCUAGGUGCUAACUAGCCCGGAUGCCUGUCAGUUUGCCAGGCAUUGGCUGGUCCUUUGUCACUGUCCUGCCAAACCGGAGUAAGCUGGUGGUGUAUGUAUGAGAGGAUAAACACAGCACUUACUCUCUGGUCAGGGUGCCAGUCUUCCAGUCUGUCUCAGUCUGUUCUAGCUAGCUGUUUGGCAUGCAGGGCUGGCUGACUGUUCAAAUAGACUGAAGGCUACAAAAUGGUUGUUAGUCACAAUUUGAGGGGGUUUAGAAAUGUUAACAUGCAGAGCGCUGCUGAGACAUAGGCCAAUAGAGGGAGACAGGGAAUUUACAUAGGAGGCAGGCUAAGGUGUGUGGGGGUAAGGAGGGGGUGGGUGGUGUGAGGGAUGGUUAGGGUGAGGAGUGUAGGGAGUGAUUAGUGACAGACAGGUUGGAGGAUGGGUAUGUUCCAAAGUGGUUGGGAUGAGGUACAUGGGGAAAGUGUAAGGGGGUUUGAGUGAGGUGUGUUGAGGUGUUGGUACAUAAGGGGAGUCAGUGAGGUGUGUUGAGGUGUUGGUACAUAAGGGCAGUCAGUGAGGUGUGUUGAGGUGUUGGUACAUAAGGGCAGUCAGUGAGGUGUGUUGAGGUGUUGGUACAUAAGGGCAGUCAGUGAGGUGUGUUGAGGUGUUGGUACAUAAGGGCAGUCAGUGAGGUGUGUUGAGGUGUUGGUACAUAAGGGCAGUCAGUGAGGUGUGUUGAGGUGUUGGUACAUAAGGGGAGUCAGUGAGGUGUGUGGGGGUGUAUUGCAGCUAACUUCAGUCUAGAUUAUUUGAAUGAUAAAUAUGGGCAUUAGAAAACAUUAGAUAACAUUAGGUAACAUUAGCUGAGGUACUUGGGGGAUGGGAGGAAGUCUGGGGCUCUGGCGAUCGUUGACAUUUUUCGUACGGUCCUGUCGCCGUACAGCAAAUCUCCUCCUGCUCAUCGUAAUGAGGGCCUGCCAGCCAGCCAGAUGGGGCUAGCGCCUGUCUGUCAAUCACAGGUUUCCAUGGUGAUUCAUUGACAGUCCCUCAUGACAGUCCUCAUACUGGACACCCUGGAGAGAGAGAGGGGGGGGGAUUAGUGAGACAGACCUCUAAAGGUCAGCAGUCAGUCAGUCCAGCCAGCAACAGUACGUAUCUCUCCCAGUCUCUUGUGUGCACACAGAGUGGCAGGCUGUGGGACAUAACACAUACAGUAGGUCCAAUAAUGGACCAGGUAGAGUCAUUAUUUAC
This is a long non-coding RNA of Oncorhynchus tshawytscha (Chinook salmon), 2039 nucleotides long. NCBI's taxonomy places the organism in Eukaryota, Metazoa, Chordata, Actinopteri, Salmoniformes, Salmonidae. The record is from Ensembl.